Molecule: long non-coding RNA, 3176 nt
Filed under: Carassius auratus (goldfish)
Lineage: Eukaryota; Metazoa; Chordata; Actinopteri; Cypriniformes; Cyprinidae
Description: lncRNA (ENSCARG00000015311.1)
Source: RNAcentral
AUGACUGACUUGCAGUUAAUGCCGCGUCCCUGCGGUGGUGGUACACGCGGCAGUAUUACCCAUUCUGGUUGUCCACCUACCGUUCAUUGGACUUGUACUGAAAUGGUCAGCAGUUGGGGGUGCUCUAACGGUGCUCUGCUUGGUUUUUGCAGGCUGCUGAGUUGGGAGAAUUUACUGCCAAAAUUGCCCUGCUGGAGGAUGCCAAGAGGAAAAAGGAAGAGGAGGCAACAGAAUGGCAACAUAAACAGCAGGCUGGAUGAGUGGAACCUGCCAGGAUGCCACCAGGCCCCCCACCAGUGCUCUGCCCCUUUCUUCCCUGAGGUUCAUGAUGAGCUGACCAAGUCGUGGUGCGCCCCCUACUCGGCCCGCCUACGUACUUCCUCCUCUGGAGCUCUCACCUCAGUAGACGGCUCCUUGGAGGCAAGAGCCCCGUCUACUGUACAAGAUGCCUCUAUGCCCAGAAAUGUCAAUCUUUUGGUGCUCAGCACGAAACGUAGGUGGACUCAAAGGACCUCCCUUUGAGCCACUGCGGCUAUCUGACCUUUGGCCCCUAACACUCAAAACCGUUCUUCUGCUUGCUCUAGCAUCAGUCAAGCAUGUUGGUGACUUGCAGGCCCUCUCGGUGAGCCCUGCUUGCCUUGAGUUUGGGCCCAAUGAUUCGAAGGUCAUUUUAAAAACCCAGGCAUGGCAACGUCCCUAAAGUGCUCUCGAUGCCAUUCAGAGCACAGGUAAUUUCCCUCCCAGCUCUGCCUCCUUUGUCAGGUGAGCGAGAGCUGGAUUUACUCUGCCCAGUGAGGGCUUUGAGGAUAUACACUGAGCGGUCACAGCCAUUCAUGCAAUCUGACCAGCUUUUUGUCUGCUUUGGGGGCCGCACCAAGGGGUCUUCGCUCUCAAAGCAACGCCUCUCACGCUGGAUAGUCGAUGCUAUCGCUUUGUCACUCCUCCAUGGGCCUUGAGUGCCCCAUAGGAGUAAGAGCCCACUCCACAAGAGGGAUGGCUGGUCCUCGUCAUCCACUCUUGUCAGAUUCUUUAAACUGGACAUCCCGACCUUGCACGCUCUGGUUCUUUUGGUUUGAUACGACCACCUCUAUCAGACGCCAUCAUCAUGCCACCUCCAGGGAGCUAGCUCCCUCUUAAGCAGUGUAGGUUAAGGGAUCGACGGCUCCGACUCUCUUACUUAUCCCAUGGACCCCAAGGUGUUCAAGAUAAGUUUUUUGUCGUUCCCUACCAUGGCACGGUGCGGUUGAAUUCGUUCCCCAUACGCAGUAUUGAGUGAAUUAUCGAAAGGGAACGUACUCGGUUAUGAACAUAACCUUGGUUCCCUGAGAUACAGAACGAGUACUGCAUUAUAUGCUGUGCCACGAGGCUGCAGCUUCAGUGUUGUCACUUCAGUCGUAUGACCUGAUUUCCUAUGGCGAUUUGCCUGCUUAUAUAGCCAUUCGCCCAUUUUGGCGGGCUUUGGCACACUGCAUCGCCACCAAUGGCAGUGCAGUUGCACUGCGUUAUUGAAAAAAGUCUUCAGUAUCGAGGAAAAAAGGAGCUUUUUCCCAUACGCAGUACUCGUUCCGUAUCUCAGGGAACCGAGGUUAUGUUCAUAACAGAGUAUGAUUUUAUUACAUUCAGAAAUUAUAACGGCAGGCCUAAUAAUGUUAUAGAUGCCAACAGGAUAUUUUUAGGUCCCCUCACUUUACAACAAAUCCUUUACAUUUAACAAAUUAAUCAGAACAGAACAAUAAUUAAAAAUGUACAAUUCUAAUGGAUAAAUAUAAUUGCAGUAUAUGAUGCUUAGUUAUAAAAAUAAUAAUAAUAAUAAUAAUUUAAAGGAAACAUAAGGUAAGGUUGAGCUCUCUCAUUCUGGAGAAUCCAAACGUUUCCAUAUUUGUGAUGUUGCCCAUUUGAAAAUAGGCUUUGUAGAUCACGCGUGUUUCAGUAUUCGACGGAAAAAAAUCAUAAUGAACAAAAAUAUGCCAAAGUGGACCACUGCUCAUGUCACAUGUCACGGUGAACAGCUGCACUGUUUCUAAUGAAUAUAUGUGUAGGAGGCACCAGUGCGAUCAAACAGCUGAAACAGAAAAUACUAAAUUUUUGGUCACACAUAAGGCAUAAUUCAAAAAUGCUAACUGUUAGCAGUUCGAAAUAUCGAGAAUAAUAACAAAGUUAAUAAGAGUUAUUUCUAAAUGCUGGACCGUUCUCAUUUCGCUCUGCAUAUGGAACCUGAAGGCCCCCCCCCUUUUUUUUUUUUUUUUUUUUACCAAGAAUGGACCGAAAUGAGCCUAAGACUAUUCUAUGUUUUGAAAUGAACUCUCUGUAACAAUUUUAAUGGUUUUUAAGGAUGUUUCAAUGUUAUAAAUUAACAAAAUAAAAUGGGAUGUGGACAGUUAAGAUGAAUUUUGUGAACCUCAAAACUACUAAAGAUGGCCGUGGGAGAUGAUUGGCAGUGAAAUUUAUUUUUAAAAACAGUCCAGGUCCACCUGUUUUUAGAAAAGUAUAAAAAAAAAUCUGAAAAUUUACUUGGAUUGCCGGAUUUUAUCCAGGAUUCAGUCAUGAAGAAAACAUCCAGAUUGUUUGAAGGGAUAAGGUCGUUACAGAUUAAUGUUUUGUUUGCUAAGGAUUACGCAUGUUUGCAUCUAGGGUAGCCACCUUCAAUACAGAAAAAUAAGGGACGCCUGGGGGGGGGGGCACCCCUUGUGGCCACGAUGACCACGAUGACCACGAUGACCACAGGUCCAAUGACGUGCCAGUGGUGGUCAUUCACAACUUAAAACAUGUUUUCAUAAAAAAUAUUAACUGCUAAUGAACUUUAGUAAUUAAGGCGGCGUGAACACUGUUUUUGGAUAAAAUAUUUGUCAUUGUUUGCAGACAGUAACACCAUCCAAACAGUCAAACAACAUAAUAAAUAACCGAUCUACAAACAUUUCUAAAUUUUCACAUUUCACAUUUUUUUAUUAUUAUUUGCAAGUUUAUCAAUUUUAUAUAGUCUAUUGUUAAUUCUACAGUAGCCUAUUAAAUAAUGCAAUUAUUUGCUUAACUUGUUAUUUAUCGUAAUUCGUGUAGGUCAUAAAUUCAAAUCCUAAUAGUCUGUGGUUUGUUUCUCACACAUUUAGGACUUAGGUGACCCCCUCAGGUCAUCCUCAGGCAUUGUCCCCCCACUAUAUAGCCCAAUGACCCUCUCAGGU